Molecule: small RNA, 616 nt
Filed under: Histoplasma capsulatum var. duboisii H88
Lineage: Eukaryota; Fungi; Ascomycota; Eurotiomycetes; Onygenales; Ajellomycetaceae
Description: Histoplasma capsulatum H88 hypothetical RNA
Source: RNAcentral
GCACAUCGUCGGUUUGUCAAAUUACAAUGCAUGACUUGAAUGGUCUGGCGCCCUCAUUUGUCCGCUCGGAUAGUUAUUAUGGCGCUGUUCCCUGUGGGUGGCACUAGAAUAUCCUUUCCCGCUAACGCCGCCGUUACACUACUGCGACCCAAGUGGAUCAUAUGAACUUGUGAAUUGAGGAGAUCCCUUGAUCCUGGACCUGGCUGGCUUCAGAACAGGGGGACAGAUAGAGAAGGAAUCCUGUGUCUGCUCAGCUAUUUGUUUCAUCAUUCGAGUCAAAAAACAAGAAUAAGAACUGGAAAGCAGCCCGUCCUUGAACUGUACUUUGCAAUAACUAUACCAGCUUGUGGCGGAAAUUUGAUGUGCCAAGUACAGAAUCCUUCUGCUGCACCCGGAUUUUGGCCUUGGAGGUCGAUCCUGGACUCUUCGGAUUGUAUCUCCCCAAGGUCUAACAGAGGCAACUGAAUGACGGAUCCCUCAUCAUCAAUCCUAUGAAAACAAAACGGCUUUAUGAAAUCCCUAUUGCCUGUAAGCUUUUAUCCCAUUACACCCUCGGCUGCUGCUCAUGCAGCUCAUAUACCAGUGCAUCUAAGGAAUAUCACCAUUUCAAGUGACC